Molecule: ribosomal RNA, 1435 nt
Filed under: Staphylococcus aureus M0350
Lineage: Bacteria; Bacillati; Bacillota; Bacilli; Caryophanales; Staphylococcaceae
Also listed under: 2 other names
Description: bacterial LSU rRNA
Rfam family: Bacterial large subunit ribosomal RNA
Source: RNAcentral
AGCGUGCGAUUGGAUUGCACGUCUAAGCAGUAAGGCUGAGUAUUAGGCAAAUCCGGUACUCGUUAAGGCUGAGCUGUGAUGGGGAGAAGACAUUGAGUCUUCGAGUCGUUGAUUUCACACUGCCGAGAAAAGCCUCUAGAUAGAAAAUAGGUGCCCGUACCGCAAACCGACACAGGUAGUCAAGAUGAGAAUUCUAAGGUGAGCGAGCGAACUCUCGUUAAGGAACUCGGCAAAAUGACCCCGUAACUUCGGGAGAAGGGGUGCUCUUUAGGGUUAACGCCCAGAAGAGCCGCAGUGAAUAGGCCCAAGCGACUGUUUAUCAAAAACACAGGUCUCUGCUAAACCGUAAGGUGAUGUAUAGGGGCUGACGCCUGCCCGGUGCUGGAAGGUUAAGAGGAGUGGUUAGCUUCUGCGAAGCUACGAAUCGAAGCCCCAGUAAACGGCGGCCGUAACUAUAACGGUCCUAAGGUAGCGAAAUUCCUUGUCGGGUAAGUUCCGACCCGCACGAAAGGCGUAACGAUUUGGGCACUGUCUCAACGAGAGACUCGGUGAAAUCAUAGUACCUGUGAAGAUGCAGGUUACCCGCGACAGGACGGAAAGACCCCGUGGAGCUUUACUGUAGCCUGAUAUUGAAAUUCGGCACAGCUUGUACAGGAUAGGUAGGAGCCUUUGAAACGUGAGCGCUAGCUUACGUGGAGGCGCUGGUGGGAUACUACCCUAGCUGUGUUGGCUUUCUAACCCGCACCACUUAUCGUGGUGGGAGACAGUGUCAAGCGGGCAGUUUGACUGGGGCGGUCGCCUCCUAAAAGGUAACGGAGGCGCUCAAAGGUUCCCUCAGAAUGGUUGGAAAUCAUUCAUAGAGUGUAAAGGCAUAAGGGAGCUUGACUGCGAGACCUACAAGUCGAGCAGGGUCGAAAGACGGACUUAGUGAUCCGGUGGUUCCGCAUGGAAGGGCCAUCGCUCAACGGAUAAAAGCUACCCCGGGGAUAACAGGCUUAUCUCCCCCAAGAGUUCACAUCGACGGGGAGGUUUGGCACCUCGAUGUCGGCUCAUCGCAUCCUGGGGCUGUAGUCGGUCCCAAGGGUUGGGCUGUUCGCCCAUUAAAGCGGUACGCGAGCUGGGUUCAGAACGUCGUGAGACAGUUCGGUCCCUAUCCGUCGUGGGCGUAGGAAAUUUGAGAGGAGCUGUCCUUAGUACGAGAGGACCGGGAUGGACAUACCUCUGGUGUACCAGUUGUCGUGCCAACGGCAUAGCUGGGUAGCUAUGUGUGGACGGGAUAAGUGCUGAAAGCAUCUAAGCAUGAAGCCCCCCUCAAGAUGAGAUUUCCCAACUUCGGUUAUAAGAUCCCUCAAAGAUGAUGAGGUUAAUAGGUUCGAGGUGGAAGCAUGGUGACAUGUGGAGCUGACGAAUACUAAUCGAUCGAAGACUUAAUCAA